This 471-nucleotide ribosomal RNA is filed under the name uncultured Acidobacteriota bacterium. Its description in RNAcentral is "bacterial SSU rRNA". It matches the Rfam family "Bacterial small subunit ribosomal RNA", at positions 43 to 527 of the family's 1533-position model. The record is from RNAcentral. Lineage: Bacteria; Pseudomonadati; Acidobacteriota.
CAGGCCUAACACAUGCAAGUUCGAACGAGAAAAGGGGAGCAAUCCUCUGAGUAAAGUGGCGACCGGGUGAGUAACACGUGACUAACCUACCCUACGGUGUGGAAUAACAUCGGGAAACCGAUGCUAAUACCGCAUAACAUCCUUGAUUCGAAAGGAUUGAAGAUCAAAGGAGCAAUUCGCCGGAGGAGGGGGUCGCGGCUGAUUAGCUAGUUGGCGGGGUAACGGCCCACCAAGGCGAAGAUCGGUAGCCGGCCUGAGAGGGCGCACGGCCACACUGGAACUGAAACACGGUCCAGACUCCUACGGGAGGCAGCAGUGGGGAAUUUUGCGCAAUGGGGGAAACCCUGACGCAGCAACGCCGCGUGGAGGAUGAAGCCCCUUGGGGCGUAAACUCCUUUCGACCAAGACGAUAAUGACGGUACUGGUGGAAGAAGCACCGGCUAACUCUGUGCCAGCAGCCGCGGUAAUACA